AUAUUUUCUGCUUUCAUUCCUUACUUGAUUGCUUUCUUCUUUUAUUUUUUCUUCCUUGCUUAAUUACCAGCUUCUUGGGUUGUUUGUUUCCUUUCUUGCUUCCUUGACUCUUUUGCUUACUUGCUUGCCUUUGUAUUUUCUUCCUUAAUUCCUUGGUUAAUUGGCUUCCUUGUUUCAUUGCUUACAUGCUUGAUUUCUUACAUACUGUCUUUUUUUACUUAAUUCUUUGGUUAACUUGCUUUUCCUGUUUCUUUACUGUAUUUCUUCCUUAACUACUGAACUUGUUUUAAAAUUCUUACUUUCUAUCCUUAUCGCUUGGCAUAUUCUUAUCUCAGUUUAUUUUCC
This 345-nucleotide small RNA is filed under the name Arabidopsis thaliana (thale cress). RNAcentral's name for it is "putative long intergenic non-coding RNA". The record is from RNAcentral. Lineage: Eukaryota; Viridiplantae; Streptophyta; Magnoliopsida; Brassicales; Brassicaceae.